UUCAACGGCCGCGGUAUCCUAACCGUGCAAAGGUAGCGCAAUCAAUUGUCCCAUAAAUCGGGACACGUAUGAAUGGCUAAACGAGGUCUUAACUGUCUCUUACAGGCAAUCGGUGAAAUUGAUCUCCCUGUGCAAAAGCAGGGAUAACCACAUAAGACGAGAAGACCCUGUGGAACUUCAAAAACAGCAACCACCCCAACAUACAUUCACACCCACCCCGGGCUCACUUAUUCACAAAGCACUGGUUUGCAUUUUUUCGGUUGGGGCGACCUUGGAGCAAAACAGAACCUCCAAAAACUGGACCAUCCCUCCAGACUAAGAGCAACCCCUCAACGUGCCAACAGCACCCAGACCCAAUAUAAUUGAUCAAUGGACCAAGCUACCCCAGGGAUAACAGCGCAAUCUCCUCCAAGAGUCCAUAUCGACGAGGAGGUUUACGACCUCGAUGUUGGAUCAGGACAUCCUAGUGGUGCAGGAGCUACUAA
This 485-nucleotide ribosomal RNA is filed under the name Melanocorypha calandra psammochroa. Its description in RNAcentral is "partial 16S ribosomal RNA". It matches the Rfam family "Bacterial large subunit ribosomal RNA", at positions 1923 to 2568 of the family's 2925-position model. Lineage: Eukaryota; Metazoa; Chordata; Aves; Passeriformes; Alaudidae. The record is from RNAcentral.